RNAcentral lists this ribosomal RNA (645 nucleotides) under Asterionellopsis glacialis. RNAcentral describes it as "partial Bacterial large subunit ribosomal RNA". It matches the Rfam family "Bacterial large subunit ribosomal RNA", at positions 994 to 1743 of the family's 2925-position model. The record is from RNAcentral. Lineage: Eukaryota; Bacillariophyta; Plagiogrammaphyceae; Rhaphoneidales; Asterionellopsidaceae.
GGUGCUAACGUCCGUCGUGGAGAGGGAAACAACCCAGACCGCCAGCUAAGGUCCCAAAAUAUUGCUAAGUGGGAAACGAUGUGGGAAGGCAUAGACAGCUAGGAGGUUGGCUUAGAAGCAGCCAUCCUUUAAAGAUAGCGUAACAGCUCACUGGUCUAAAUAAGGGUUCUUGCGCCGAAAAUGUAACGGGGCUAAAGCCAUGCACCGAAACUGAGGGCACUAUUUAUAGUGCGGUAGCAGAGCGUUCUGUAAGCCUGCGAAGGGAUACUCGUGAGAGAUCCUGGAGGUAUCAGAAGUGCAAAUGUUGACAUGAGUAACGAUAAAGAGGGUGAGAGACCCUCUCGCCGAAAGACCAAGGGUUCCUGCUUAAAGUUAAUCUGAGCAGGGUUAGCCGGCUCCUAAGGCGAGGCCGAAAGGCGUAGUCGAUGGGAAUGCAGUUAAUAUUCUGCAGCCUGGUGGUAGUGACGGAUCUCGUAAAUUGUACAUCCUUAUUGGAUUGGUUGUGCAGUGAAGAGGUUCCAGGAAAUAGCUCCACCAUAUAGACCGUACCCCAAACCGACACAGGUGGUCAGGUAGAGAAUACUAAGGCGAUCGAGAGAAUCAUGGUUAAGGAACUCGGCAAAAUGCCCCCGUAACUUCGGGAGA